UACGUAGGGUGCAAGCGUUAAUCGGAAUUACUGGGCGUAAAGGGCGCGUAGGCGGCCUUCUAAGUCGAACGUGAAAUCCCCGGGCUCAACCCGGGAACUGCGUCCGAUACUGGAAGGCUUGAAUCCGGGAGAGGGAUGCGGAAUUCCAGGUGUAGCGGUGAAAUGCGUAGAUAUCUGGAGGAACACCGGUGGCGAAGGCGGCAUCCUGGACCGGUAUUGACGCUGAGGCGCGAAAGCCAGGGGAGCAAACGGG
This 253-nucleotide ribosomal RNA is filed under the name uncultured bacterium. Its description in RNAcentral is "partial 16S ribosomal RNA". It matches the Rfam family "Bacterial small subunit ribosomal RNA", at positions 524 to 776 of the family's 1533-position model. The record is from RNAcentral.